RNAcentral lists this ribosomal RNA (253 nucleotides) under uncultured bacterium. RNAcentral describes it as "partial 16S ribosomal RNA". It matches the Rfam family "Bacterial small subunit ribosomal RNA", at positions 524 to 776 of the family's 1533-position model. The record is from RNAcentral.
UACGAAGGGGGCUAGCGUUGCUCGGAAUCACUGGGCGUAAAGCGCACGUAGGCGGGUCGUUAAGUCAGGGGUGAAAUCCCGGAGCUCAACUCCGGAACUGCCUUUGAUACUGGCGAUCUUGAGUUCGAGAGAGGUGAGUGGAACUGCGAGUGUAGAGGUGAAAUUCGUAGAUAUUCGCAAGAACACCAGUGGCGAAGGCGGCUCACUGGCCCGGUACUGACGCUGAGGUGCGAAAGCGUGGGGAGCAAACAGG